RNAcentral lists this ribosomal RNA (460 nucleotides) under uncultured bacterium. RNAcentral's name for it is "partial 16S ribosomal RNA". It matches the Rfam family "Bacterial small subunit ribosomal RNA", at positions 338 to 795 of the family's 1533-position model. The record is from RNAcentral.
CCUACGGGAGGCAGCAGUGAGGAAUAUUGGUCAAUGGGCGUAAGCCUGAACCAGCCAAGCCGCGUGAGGGAUGAAGGUUCUAUGGAUCGUAAACCUCUUUUAUAAGGGAAUAAAGUGUGGGACGUGUCCUAUUUUGUAUGUACCUUAUGAAUAAGGAUCGGCUAACUCCGUGCCAGCAGCCGCGGUAAUACGGAGGAUCCGAGCGUUAUCCGGAUUUAUUGGGUUUAAAGGGUGCGUAGGCGGCCUUUUAAGUCAGCGGUGAAAGUCUGUGGGUCAACCACAGCAUUGCCGUUGAAACUGGCGGGCUUGAGUAUGUUUGAGGCAGGCGGAAUGCGUGGUGUAGCGGUGAAAUGCUGAGAUAUCGCGCAGAACCCCGAUUGCGAAGGCAGCCUGCCAGGCCAUGACUGACGCUGAUGCACGAAAGCGUGGGGAUCAAACAGGAUUAGAUACCCGAGUAGUC